This 496-nucleotide ribosomal RNA is filed under the name uncultured bacterium. RNAcentral describes it as "partial 16S ribosomal RNA". It matches the Rfam family "Bacterial small subunit ribosomal RNA", at positions 29 to 507 of the family's 1533-position model. The record is from RNAcentral.
AUGAACGCUGGCGGCGUGCCUCAUACCUGCAAGUCGAGCGCACAGAUGAGGAGCUUGCUCCUCUGACGUUAGCGGCGGACGGGUGAGUAACACGUGGAUAACCUACCUAUAAGACUGGGAUAACUUCGGGAAACCGGAGCUAAUACCGGAUAAUAUAUUGAACCGCAUGGUUCAAUAGUGAAAGACGGUUUUGCUGUCACUUAUAGAUGGAUCCGCGCCGCAUUAGCUAGUUGGUAAGGUAACGGCUUACCAAGGCGACGAUGCGUAGCCGACCUGAGAGGGUGAUCGGCCACACUGGAACUGAGACACGGUCCAGACUCCUACGGGAGGCAGCAGUAGGGAAUCUUCCGCAAUGGGCGAAAGCCUGACGGAGCAACGCCGCGUGAGUGAUGAAGGUCUUCGGAUCGUAAAACUCUGUUAUUAGGGAAGAACAAAUGUGUAAGUAACUAUGCACGUCUUGACGGUACCUAAUCAGAAAGCCACGGCUAACUACGUG